GGGCCCGUAGCCUAGCAAGGAUAAGGCGGCUGGCUUCGGACCAGCAGAUCAGGGGUUCAAGUCCCCUCGGGCCCA
Molecule: transfer RNA, 75 nt
Filed under: Candidatus Nitrosocaldaceae archaeon
Lineage: Archaea; Thermoproteati; Nitrososphaerota; Nitrososphaeria; Candidatus Nitrosocaldales; Candidatus Nitrosocaldaceae
Description: tRNA-Arg
Rfam family: tRNA
About the family: Transfer RNA (tRNA) molecules are approximately 80 nucleotides in length.
Source: RNAcentral